RNAcentral lists this small nuclear RNA (96 nucleotides) under Canis lupus familiaris (dog). RNAcentral describes it as "U4 spliceosomal RNA (multiple genes)". The stretch from base 1 to 67 matches the Rfam family "U4 spliceosomal RNA". Rfam says of the family: U4 small nuclear RNA (U4 snRNA) is a component of the major U2-dependent spliceosome. The structure of U4 snRNA from yeast and human has been reported. The record is from RNAcentral. Lineage: Eukaryota; Metazoa; Chordata; Mammalia; Carnivora; Canidae.
AGCUUUAUGCAGUGGCAGUAUCAUAGCCAAUGAGGUUUAUCCGAGGCGCGAUUAUUGCUAAUUAAACCCCUGCAUGAAGUUGGAUUCUUCCAGAAG